GCCCUACCCACCCUGCCCCAGACAGAGGCCUCCUCGCUGGGGAGAGACGUGGCCAGUCCUGGGUGUCUGGAGGUCUGGGCUCUGGAGGGGAUGACUCUACUCAGCGACAUGGCCUCACUAGAGAUGGAUCGGAUACAGCUGGAGCAGGGUGAGGUGUUGUGUGGUCUUGACCGCCUGUUAGAGGCAGGUAGAAAGGUGUUGCUGGAGGCCAUUGAGAGCCAGUCUCACAUCAACCUCCCCAGACAACUACACCCCAGCAAGACCUACAGCUGGAGGAUGAGGACAGACCCACAAGAGCAGCUCUUCAGUAAGCUGUGUGUGU
Molecule: long non-coding RNA, 322 nt
Organism: Oncorhynchus gorbuscha (pink salmon)
Lineage: Eukaryota; Metazoa; Chordata; Actinopteri; Salmoniformes; Salmonidae
Exons: 3
Source: RefSeq, a predicted model, not a curated record